CAGCAGCCGCGGUAAUACGUAGGUGGCAAGCGUUGUCCGGAAUUAUUGGGCGUAAAGGGCUCGCAGGCGGUUUCUUAAGUCUGAUGUGAAAGCCCCCGGCUCAACCGGGGAGGGUCAUUGGAAGCUGGGAAACUUGAGUGCAGAAGAGGAGAGUGGAAUUCCACGUGUAGCGGUGAAAUGCGUAGAGAUGUGGAGGAACACCAGUGGCGAAGGCGACUCUCUGGUCUGUAACUGACGCUGAGGAGCGAAAGCGUGGGGAGCGAACAGGAUUAGAUACCCGAGUAGUCCCUGUCUCUUAUAC
This 301-nucleotide ribosomal RNA is filed under the name uncultured bacterium. RNAcentral describes it as "partial 16S ribosomal RNA". It matches the Rfam family "Bacterial small subunit ribosomal RNA", at positions 509 to 807 of the family's 1533-position model. The record is from RNAcentral.